UAUGCUUUAGUAUAAAUUGUACAGAAAUUUUUGAUAUUUCUAGAAAUAGUUUAAUCUAUUAAGUAUAA
This 68-nucleotide transfer RNA is filed under the name Lepidapion squamigerum. RNAcentral describes it as "tRNA-Gln". Lineage: Eukaryota; Metazoa; Arthropoda; Insecta; Coleoptera; Brentidae. The record is from RNAcentral.